Oryctolagus cuniculus (rabbit) is the source of this 16389-nucleotide non-coding RNA. The record is from RefSeq and is a predicted model, not a curated record. Lineage: Eukaryota; Metazoa; Chordata; Mammalia; Lagomorpha; Leporidae.
CCUGUCAGGCUCUCCAGAUUCCCGGGCUGUGUGCUGGUGAGAAAUCUUUGCUGCAGCGAGGACAGGAGUCCCCCGCGCGCAGCCCAGUGGCAGAAGAGGGCUAGGCUGAGAGGGAAGGAGAGGACUGGAGAGGAGGGAGGCAGCCCGUCCUCCCCGCGAGCCUGCAAGGAUGCGGCAGCGGACCGGGGGCAUGGGGAGGCACUAACCCCCCGAGCCCCUGAUCCGGGCUUGCCGAUCCGGUGCGCGGGCCAAUUUCCUGCCAAGUGCAGCCAAGCAGCAGAGGCGCCUGGAAAGCCACGAGAGGGGCGCAGGGGGUGCCCAUCCCCAGAGUCGGUUCCUCUGCGAAUCGGGGAAGAAGAGAGGAGGGAGUCCGUGAGUGGUGAGGAGAAGGAAAAACCUGUCUCCAGUCUGGCUGGGGAGCGUCGGAGAGACCAGGGCGCUCGGCGCCAUCGUCUUCAAUGCCUCUCUGAACAGCCUUGAGGAAGAGUGUGAGCGAAAGAGAGAGGAGAGAGCGCGCGCCAGGGAGAGGAAAAAAGAAGAUGAGGAUUAUUUGCAGACAGAUUGUCUUGUUAUUUUCCGGAUUUUGGGGACUCGCCAUGGGAGCCUUUCCGAGCAGCGUGCAAAUAGGUGGUCUCUUCAUCCGAAACACAGAUCAGGAAUACACUGCUUUCCGACUAGCAAUUUUUCUUCAUAACACCAGCCCCAAUGCGUCGGAAGCUCCUUUUAAUUUGGUACCUCAUGUGGACAACAUUGAGACAGCCAACAGUUUUGCUGUAACAAAUGCCUUCUGUUCCCAGUAUUCCAGAGGAGUCUUUGCCAUUUUUGGACUCUAUGACAAGAGGUCAGUGCAUACUUUGACCUCAUUCUGCAGCGCCUUGCACAUCUCCCUCAUCACACCAAGUUUCCCUACAGAGGGAGAGAGCCAGUUUGUGCUGCAGCUAAGGCCCUCCUUACGAGGAGCACUCUUGAGUCUGCUGGAUCACUAUGAGUGGAACUGUUUUGUCUUCCUGUAUGACACAGACAGGGGAUACUCAAUACUCCAAGCUAUUAUGGAAAAAGCAGGACAAAAUGGUUGGCAUGUCAGUGCUAUAUGUGUGGAAAAUUUUAAUGAUGUCAGCUAUAGGCAACUUUUAGAGGAACUUGAUAGAAGACAGGAGAAGAAAUUUGUAAUAGACUGUGAAAUAGAGAGGCUUCAAAACAUACUAGAACAGAUUGUCAGCGUUGGAAAGCAUGUUAAAGGCUACCAUUAUAUCAUUGCAAACUUGGGAUUCAAAGAUAUUUCUCUUGAGAGGUUUAUACACGGUGGAGCCAAUGUUACAGGAUUCCAGUUGGUAGAUUUUAAUACGCCAAUGGUAACCAAACUAAUGGACCGCUGGAAGAAACUAGAUCAAAGAGAGUAUCCAGGAUCUGAGACUCCUCCAAAGUACACUUCUGCUCUAACUUAUGACGGAGUCCUUGUAAUGGCUGAAACUUUCCGAAAUCUUAGAAAGCAGAAAAUUGAUAUUUCAAGGAGAGGAAAUGCUGGAGAUUGUCUGGCAAAUCCUGCUGCUCCGUGGGGUCAGGGAAUCGACAUGGAGAGGACACUCAAACAGGUUCGAAUUCAAGGGCUGACAGGGAAUGUUCAAUUUGACCACUAUGGACGCAGAGUCAAUUACACAAUGGAUGUGUUUGAGCUGAAGAGCACAGGACCUAGAAAGGUUGGUUACUGGAAUGAUAUGGAUAAAUUAGUCUUGAUUCAAGAUGUACCCACUCUUGGGAAUGACACAGCAGCUAUUGAGAACAGAACAGUGGUUGUAACCACAAUUAUGGAAUCCCCAUAUGUUAUGUACAAGAAAAAUCAUGAAAUGUUUGAAGGAAAUGACAAGUAUGAAGGAUACUGUGUAGAUUUGGCAUCUGAAAUUGCAAAACAUAUUGGUAUCAAGUAUAAAAUUGCCAUUGUUCCUGAUGGAAAAUAUGGAGCAAGGGAUGCAGACACAAAAAUCUGGAAUGGGAUGGUAGGAGAACUUGUUUAUGGGAAAGCAGAAAUUGCUAUUGCCCCUCUGACAAUCACUUUGGUACGAGAGGAGGUCAUUGACUUCUCUAAGCCCUUCAUGAGUUUGGGCAUAUCUAUCAUGAUCAAAAAGCCUCAAAAAUCAAAACCGGGAGUGUUUUCCUUCUUGGAUCCUCUGGCAUAUGAGAUUUGGAUGUGCAUAGUCUUCGCCUACAUUGGUGUCAGCGUGGUCUUGUUCCUAGUUAGUAGGUUCAGCCCCUAUGAGUGGCACACAGAAGAGCCAGAGGAUGGAAAGGAAGGACCCAGCGACCAGCCUCCCAAUGAGUUUGGCAUCUUUAACAGCCUGUGGUUUUCCCUGGGUGCUUUUAUGCAGCAAGGAUGUGACAUUUCACCCAGAUCCCUCUCAGGUCGAAUCGUUGGAGGUGUGUGGUGGUUUUUUACACUCAUCAUUAUAUCAUCUUACACUGCUAACCUGGCUGCUUUCCUGACGGUUGAGCGAAUGGUCUCCCCUAUAGAAAGUGCAGAAGACUUGGCCAAACAGACAGAGAUUGCCUAUGGAACGCUGGAUUCAGGGUCGACAAAAGAAUUCUUCAGAAGAUCAAAAAUAGCAGUGUAUGAAAAGAUGUGGACCUACAUGCGAUCAGCAGAACCGUCAGUGUUCACUAGGACUACAGCUGAGGGAGUAGCUCGUGUCCGCAAAUCCAAGGGCAAAUUUGCCUUUCUCCUGGAGUCCACUAUGAAUGAAUACAUUGAGCAGCGAAAGCCAUGUGACACGAUGAAAGUGGGAGGAAAUCUGGAUUCAAAAGGCUAUGGAGUAGCAACGCCCAAGGGUUCCUCAUUAAGGAGGAGGACAGAGGAGAACUAACGAGCUCCAGGACCAAGGUAAGAGGGGAGUUUUCUUUCAAAAGAAUGGGUUCCAUCCGUUUGAAGGAAACCCCUCCCCCACCAAUUUUUUAAUCCCUUUUCCUUUUUACAUUUAUAUUUUUUAACCCACCAGCAUUAGGAAACCAGCUUGCAAUCCGUGCCUAAUAGUUAUUUGAACAUUCACUUAUAAAUGUGAUAGCAGGAAAAAAAGUAAAACCUUUACAUAAGUCAUACUAGUUAUUUGCUAAUGCAUUUACGUUUUCCAUCAUCAUUAAUGAUUAGUUCAAGUUUUCCAUUAAGAUUGAGAUUCCUACCUAGGCCUCAGGAAAUUGUUUUCAGCUGCUAAUUUCUCCUUAUGCAGAAUAUCUGCAGUUAUUAUAAAUCAAAUUCUAAUGGGUGAGAAGUCACAAAAUAUUGAAAUUAAAUCUAAAGCAUUCCUACAGAAAUAUGUCAUGAAGAAAUGCUUUAAUAAGCUGCUGAUAUAAUUUUAAUGGUAUAUAUUUUGAAAUAUGGUAAAGCUGGACUUUUGGUAAGAAGUAGUAUAGACUUAGUAAGAUUAUUAAAGUACCAUAUGAAAACUGUGGUUAGAAAAACAAAAGGAAAAGGAAGAAAUACUCUCUUACACAUUGUUUCUUCAUGAUUAUACACCCAGCUCUCUUUGGUUCUGCUUUUAAUGGUUUCUGAUGUAACAUCUCAUUUUUAUGUUGCUGUCCAUGGACAUCAGUAUGCCCUAGCUUUGGUAUUCUUUUAAAUUGGUCCUUCCAUAGUUGAGAACCCAAGCAGAACAAGUGAGAGAAUUUGAAAGGCAUCUAGAAUUUAUAAGAAAGAUAGACCAUAUGGAUUAUGAAAGGGACUAGCUUCCAGAUCCUGUUCAGCAAUAAUUCUUAUCAGUGCCCUCCAAAGAGGCCAGAGGUUGUAUGACUUAAUUAGAUGUUGGAAAAAUCUUGGUUCUGUAUCCAGUGCUCAAAGCUCUGGCACAAGAGAUCCUCUGCGGUUGUCGAAACUCCUGCUAUCAAGGGCACAGAGGAAGGGAUCCCAGAGAGAGCUGAACAAGUUCAGGAGAGGUCACAACUUGCAGGAAGCUGACAGCUGAAGAACUCCCCCAAUUCAGCAUUACCCAAGCUUUUCCAUUUGGUACAAUCAGAAAAAUAAAAUUUGAAGCACUGACACACUAUGUAUUAGCAAAUGUCUAUUGCAAAUAUGCUUUGAGUGAGUGAUUCAUUGUCAGUAUGUAUAUCCAUAUUUCAAAGCAUCUUAUAGGUAAAAUAUAAAUAUUGUACAUAAAAUAUAAGUAAAAUGUUUCUAACUGAAAAAAGAAGUCUUAAUAUCAGGUAGCUGAGACCCUUGGACUCAAGAAGAAUAUGUUAGUUUGGGAGAAGAAGUAUACAGAAAAAAUAAUGCUUCAGCCAAUUUGUUGUAAGAAAAUAGUCAUCAACUUUCAGAAAUAUACUCCUACCAUUCUCUUUUUUUUUAAGUCAAAAGAGGCAGCAUCCUUUUUUUUUAAGAUUUAUUUACUUUUUUGAAAGAGUUACACAGAUAGAAAAGGAGAGGCAGAGAGAGAGGUCUUCCUGGUUCACUCCCCAAUUGACUGCAAUGGCCAGAGCUGCGCCAAUCUGAAGCCAGGAACCAAGAGCUUAUUACAGGUCUCCCACAUAGGUGCAGGGGCCCAAGGAUGUGGGCCAUCUUCUACUGCUUUCUCAGGCCAUAGCAGAGAACCAUCAGAAGUGGAGCUGCCAGGACUCAAACCGGCACCCAUAUGGGAUGCUGGCACUGCAGGCAGUGGCUUCACCUGCUACACCUCAGCCCCGGCCCCCUUCUGCCAUUUUCUUUCAAAUGUGUAGAAGCCUGGAAAAACCUUAAAGUUGCAAUGUUGGGAUAUAUUUUUGUUCAAGACUAGUCUCUUUGGCAGGAAUAAUAGUAAUCAUGCAAUUAGGAACAUACAGGAAAGGACACAUGCAAAAUAAGAAUUUGACUUUAAUACCGAAGCAUGCUAUUUAUAUAGUCAUAUUGCAAUACUCAACAAAUCCAGAAACCUAAGAAUUGAACUUUUAGCACAUACACAUUUUUGUUGUCAUAUUAUCAGAUAAAACUUAGUUUUGACUUACUCACUGACUCUUUUAGUAAAAAGCCCAGGAUAUAUUUGAAUCGCAUUAUGCAUUCCUGAUUUAUUCAUUCCUGGAUUUUAAAAUGUCAGGUAUAUGGAAUGUCUGCUUAAGCAAUCACAUGAAAUAAGCAAAAUUGUCACAAUAUUUUAGUGUUAGUACUGUUUAUGUUAGUACUACUUAGAAUUUGAUAUCUACAUACACAUUAGUUAUGUCAGAAGAUUUGCUGUAUACUUUGAAUUUUUAUGAAAUAUAUAAUUGUGAUGUCAUUAAUGGAGAGACUUGGUGGUAGUUCUAUGAUUACUUAGCUCUUUGGAUAACCUAAAAUUGAGAAGCUAACUUUUUUUUUAGUUUUGUUGCUUAGCAAAGUGAAAAAUAUUGAUUUUUCUAUUAAUGUCACUCAAUUUAUUAGGCAUAUUAAAAAUACCUCACAGAAGUAUCCCAAUUGGUAACAUAAGACAUACUGAACUUCUGAUAAAGAACAUGUAACUGAAAGACAAUAUGAUAUGUUUUAGCAUUAACACCAACAGAAGCAUACAUUGGUUAGAUUGUUUUAAGACUUUAAACUUUUUUUCUGAGUUGUUUAAUAAAAUAAAUGAACUGUAGUAUACAUGUUUUGAAUUAAUAUGAGCCCUGUUGCUCUCAAAGAUAAGCAGCUUUAUGUCUUCACUUAGAAAUCAUAAACUUAAAACCUUUAGAGAUCUAAGAGCUUAGAAUUCUUAGGCAUCAGCCAUUUUCAGGAUAACAGAAAAGCCGCGUGGUCUCCUGGUUAUGAGCUCCCUAUGUAGUCUUGAACUUUGAUGGAGCUUGUAAUCUAUAUUUCUAUAAGCACUAUUAGUUUAUUAUCCCUGCUUCUAUAAGAAGCACUAUUUUUUUUAUCAAUUAAGUUCCUUUUUCUAUUUGUAUUGUUCUUCUACCUAACCAAAAUGCAUGCUAAAAAUAAGAUAGGUGAAAUAAGAUCAUAAAAGUAACAUGCAAAUAUUGGCCUACUACUAAAGAACCUGAAACCUUAAAUACGAGAAGAAAUUUGAAGCUGUGAUUUUUUUUUACUAUCAGGCACUUGAUAGCAAAUCUAAAAUAUUUGUGUAUGAAGUUUAACUAAACCUAUCAAAUCAGUUGAAUGCCUAUUAAAAUAUAUGGUAAAUAAAUCAAAUUAAACCAUAGAGUUGACAUUUAGUAUGUGAUGAUAAUAAAUGUGAUUUUUACUUUCUAAUUGAGCUGAAUUACAAAUUCAAUAACAGAAGAAAUAUAUCUAAAGGCAAUAAGUCUUAUUUGUUAAAUUUAAUUUGUUUAAAAUUGACCUAUAAAAACCUAAUUGUCUGGGAUUUUCAUCUUUAAGUUUAGUUUGGAAUAUAUUUUCCUUGAUAUUAACAACAAAGUUGAACUUUUUUUUUUUUCAUUUAGUGUUCUUUCCUUGUCUGGCUAUACAAAGAGAAUUGGUGACCCCUUUAUUUUAACCGUUUAUGAUCUCAUGGAAAUACCUUCUGAGAUUAUAUUAUUCAUACAAUGAACCUAAUUUUGCCUGUCAUUAUUCAUAAAGAUAUCCAGUAUCAAUAUUUUAUAUCCCUCUUACCAACAUUUAAUAUUUUUGAACUAUUUGUUUUAUUUUGUUUUAAAAUGCACACCAUGGCAUUUCUGUUAGGUUCAUAGCUAAAGCAUGCUAUUUUUUUCACUAGAAUGCAUUGCUUACAAAAUAGCACCUCAAACUAAUUCACUGUGAUAUCAAUACUACAUGUGGUUACCACAUAGCAACUGUAUUUCUCUCCCUGUGUUAGGACUGAGAAUAAUAAAAAUUAUCAUUCAUAAGACAUAGUUGAUAACUUCCAAGAUGGGAAAAAAGCUAUAUACAGAUAACUUUGUAAAGUGUCAAAUAACUCAAAGCAAAUAUGAGUGCUUCAGAUAGGAGAUGUUAUACUUGCAAAAGCAGGAGAUAAAUAGGAUUUGGAGAAUCUGGGAAAGACCUCAUUAAGAAGGUUCGAGUUUAUCAGGUUUAUAAAUAUUAUUUGAAUGAAUAAAUCAGUGAAUGAUUACCGGAAAAUAAGAAAUUUACCAAGGCCAAGAUGAGGUGAAAAAAGGAACUCCAAGUGAAUUUUCUAUCAUGAGUUUGCAGUCAGUUGUGAAUAAAGUAUCUUUGGUGCUGAAUAGACAUCAGUGGUAGACCGACUCAGGUCUAACUGAGCCCAGCUGCAGGUCUAACUCAGGUCUAACUGCAGAUCCACCUUUGCCAUUCACUGGCCUGGCAACUUGAGGCCUUACUUUCUUCUUUCACAAAAUGCAGAGUAGUCCCCAGUGAGAAUUUUAACAGAGUUCACAGAGAAUAUUAACAUCUUGACAUGAUGUCUACCACAAUAAAACAUAGUGAAAUUUCACUUUUAGAAGUGCAAAGUGAGUUGAUGUGAUUUCAGCCUUGAAUGUCUGAAAAGUUAGAAUGAUGUCUCAGAGGCAGUCGUGAAUCAAGAAGGCUCCUGCCAUGCGCUAUAAACCAGCAAGAAGCAAGGUUACUCUGAGUAGCAAAGAACAGGGUGAUAGCCAGUAACUCUGUCUUCUGGAGAUAAAAACUUUAACUGAUGUGAUGCCAGUAGAAUAGAAACGAAAAUAUAAACUUGGGAGACAUUAUUCAAAAAAAGUUAUUUAGGGGUAAUUUGUUAAAGGAAAGGAAAAUUCAAGGAUGAGAUUGAGUUUUUCUGGUUGAGUCUUGUUUUUUUUUUUAAGCAUUAUUAUUAUUAUUUUUAUUUUAUUUUAUUUUUUGACAGGCAGAGUGGACAGUGAGAGAGAGAGACAGAGAGAAAGGUCUUCCUUUGCCGUUUGUUCACCCUCCAGUGGCCACCGCGGCCGGCGCGCUGCAGCCGGCGCACCGCGCUGAUCCGAUGGCAGGAGCCAGGAGCCAGGUGCUUUUCCUGGUCUCCCAUGGGGUGCAGGGCCCAAGCACCUGGGCCAUCCUCCACUGCACUCCCUGGCCAUAGCAGAGAGCUGGCCUGGAAGAGGGGCAACCGGGACAGAAUCCGGCGCCCUGACCGGGACUAGAACCCGGUGUGCCGGCGCCACAAGGCGGAGGAUUAGCCUAGUGAGCCAUGGCGCCGGCCAAGUCUUGUUAUUUUAUAAUUUGUUUUCAAAGUUUUAUUAUUUCUAUGUAAAAGUUUCUGAUAUGCUAUUCUGGAACUUUCUUGUGAUGCUCUUGUUGGGGAUUCAAGAUCAUAUACCUUAAAAUAUUAAAGCUAAAAUCAUUAAGAAUUCCAUGUAUAUUAAAGUAGAAAUCCGUCACCUUGAGAGAAAAUAAAUAUCAUCAUCUAGGUAAAUCAAGACAGCAUAUACAUUAUUGAUAUUGCUUUUUGAAGAAAACUAUCUACUGCACUUCAUUCUUGGAUAUUUGGAAACUAUCCAUUCAGUUAACAAGAUCACCUGUCUUUCAAAUUUUAUCUCAACUCAAGGGAUAUUUAGCAUGAGAGAAUAGAAGUUGCCAACUGACUUAAACAGGUAAUACAUGAGUGAGAGGGUUCACAAAGCUUAAUGAGGGAUAAUCCCUGCCAGACUUGACAAACUUCUUGGGAAAAACAACAUAGGAGGGAUGAAUAACACUUUUAACUACUCAGGAAAGGGACUGAAAGGAAGUAAAGUGUAUUAUAGCACUAUGGGAAAGAGCACUGGACCAGAAGGCAGAAGACCUGCUGCCAGCUGGGCUUGAUGGACAAGUCACCUAACUUUCAUUAGGCCCAGUGACCACAUCUGGAAAAGGAGAAGAUUUAAGGUGAUUUCUAACCCACGUUUUCACUGAAACAUUCUAGGAUGCUUUACUUUUAAAGCAAUCGGUAAACAUCUUUAGAAGCUAACAUGAUGGAAAAGUAAACAUGAUCCGUGGAAUGGCUUAGAAUUCUGGAACUGGUAGAAGGAGAAUAAGCAUCAUGGUCUAGAUGAUGCAGGAAUCCAGUCAGGGAUGGGACUGAGUCCACCAAGUGCCUGAUGGUCCAGCCAAGGCACCUGCUUGACAGGCCCAGCAUUGUUGCACAAUUCCAGGCUGGGAGCAUGAUGGCAACCAGUUCCUAUAUUAUUGAAAUUAUACUUGAGAAUAAUAACUUGAAAAAUGACUAACAUUCAGAGAUACCACAUAAACUAAAGAACUUCACAUUCUAGGUAGCUGUGGUCUCAUCUUGAAACAAGGCUAACUUUUAUAUGACUUGAUCAGAGAUAGUGACAACAAGAAGGAGGUGGCUUGGAGCAGGAAUUUCACCUCAUACAUUUGAAAACAGGACCCCAAAAGGUCACCACAUAUAAAUUAAAUAAUUUAUUUAAUAUGAAUAAUUGAUAUUUCCCCAACAUAGUAUUAUAUAAUAAUAAUUAAAAGUAUCUUUUGACUAUGUAGAUAAAUUCUUUAUUGAUUUUACAUGGUCUUCUAAAAGGUUUUACACAGGAUGUGUUUGCAGAAUGAUCACACAUUGAAGCUGGUAUCUUGGAAGUCUCUUCUCACCAAUUCGCAGUCUUAAGAGUUCUCUAUGAAAAUUCUGGAGCCAUCAUGCCUUCAGAAAUGUUUUCAUUUCUCUUACCUUUAAUGAAUAUACUUAAAAUAAUCAGUAAUUAAUUUUAAAAUAAAUGUAGAAUCUAGAACAAAUUUUUUUUAAUUCAUAUUCACGUUUGCCCCUCUAAGGUCUAAGAAUCCCCAGAAAUUAUAUGCCAAUCUGUAAUUUUGUGUAUUUGUGCCUUUCUCCUGAAAAAGUAACUGUAAUUUUUAUUGGAUUCUAAAAGAGGUCUAUUAUCCAAAACAGGUUAGAAAAUUCUUGUCUAUGAUCUAAAAUUGAUAAAAUAAUAAAACCAAAUUGCCUGAAGUAUUUGUAUUACCUAAAAAACACUUAACAUUAAAAUAUAAUUACAUUUUCCAUGCUUUAACAAUUAUUGGCAGAUAUCCUCAGGAAAAUUACAAUACUUCUUCAAAUAAUCACAUUCCUCAGACCCAGUUCGCAAAUAGGAAUUUGUCAUGGAAUUUCCAAAGAAGAUGCAGCUUAGAGACAAUUAGUGGAAGCUAGUCCAGUACAUAGUGAAUUUAUUCAGUUCUCCUUGCUCACUUGAGAUAUGAAAUGCAGACCUCCAUACUAACUUAAUAGCAGGCAUGCCAUCCAAAUCCUGAAGCAGACACUAAAUCCAUCAAAGGGGUUUUCAGAUUCUCAUUAUGAAUCAAGCUGUAUCUGAAUUUCUUUCCACUUACAGAAAAUUUUUCCCUUCGAAGUUUGAUAUUGUUAUCGAUCACCAGUGCCAUUUUAUGCAAAUCUUACAAUUGCAUUAGCAAAAUGGAGUGAAAACUUAAUACCUUUUCCAAAAACUUUUACAUAUAUAAAGAGAGAGAGCAAUUUAGCCCAAAUUCUGCCACUGGAAAUGAGUGCUCAAAUCCAAUGGAGCAAAAAGAGCCUUGUGCUUGUCUACUGGAAGGAAUAAUUUAGAAAGAAAAGUAAUAGCAUGGCUACAAGUUAAAUUGAAAACUUAGUGGAGCAUUGAUAAUGCUGAGAACUGGUUACUCUUCCAGGCCUAAAUAGCAGAUAGAAGGUAGAACCAUGAAUGCAAAUGUCUUUCUUUAGGAUCAGACAAACUCAGCUCUGAACUCUUUAUAAUUUGACAGCCUAUUGAUUUUUAUUUACUUUUCAUAUUUUUUCUGAUUGAUAAAAUAAGUAUUUUUCUCAGCAGAUUAUUAAUUGGCUUUACACAAAGUUCUGGAGUUUGUUGUAAAUUCUUGUUUCCUUUUGCUAAUGUGCUCUAUUCACCAUUAUCUGGAAGACAUUAACUAAAUUACAAAAAGCAAAUCCCUAUGAUAUUUGUUCCUCUCUACCUAUCUCAUCUUAGGUGGAACAAACUUUCAUGCAUGCAACUCUUGUGACAAUACUGAAAAUGCAGCUAUCACUGAAUAAUGGAAUGAGAGUUAUUUCUUAUUUUUCAUGAAAGUAUUAUUUAUUAGGAUGACAUAAAGUUUAAAGCAAAUGAAUUUUCCAAUCUGGAAUUUGCUUGAUUCUAAGAAAAUGAUAUAGUAAAUAUGUAGUAUUGUGGAAGAUUAAAAAAUAAUAUUUUUCUAUUCUUGCAAAAAAUCCAAAAAUGACUUUUCUUAAGGUCUCUAAUACUUGUUUGAAAAACAACAUAGUUGCCAGCAAUGGAAUCCUUUUUAAAAAGCACAAAGCUAUAUACAAACUUUUCUUUAAAAAUGUACCAUUUAAGAGGACUCAAGACUAUUCAUAGUCACAUUUAUUUAAUGCAAUCUGGGAAAAAGACUCACCUUAUCUAUGUAAAUAUGUGUGAAACAGUAAGUUUCCUCUCUAGAUCACUGAGAGUUCUAUAAACUUCCUGCAAGUUCUAUCUGAUGAGUUAGACCUUCUAAUUGAUGCGUUACUCAUGCUUCUCUGCCUGACCUGUUCCCUCAAGUAAGACAGAACCUGUGUAGGAGCCAAAUACAGCACAUGUUCUCCAGCCUGUGACCAGAGGACAAAACCAAAUGGACCAAAGCAAUCCAAAUAAUCAGAAACAAUGAUGUCUCUCUGAUCCCUAAGAAUAACUUCUAGAUUCUGCCUCUUCCUCAAAUUGUAUUUCAUCCAACGUAGAAUAUAUAUUUUGGAUUUAAUAAACAAUUGUUUAAAGAUUUAUUUAUUUAUGUGAAAGGCAGAGUCAUAAAGAGAGAGAGAUCUACCAUCAGUUGGUUCACUCCUCAAAUGGCCGCAACAGCCAGGACUGGGCCAGGACAAAGUCUGGAACUUCCUCUAGGUCUCCCAUGUGGGAGGCAGGGACCCAAAUACUUGGGCCAUCUUUUGCUGCUUUCCCAGGCACACUAACAUGGAGUUGGAUCAGAAGCAGAGCAGCUGGGACACCAACCAUUGCCCAUAUGGGAUUCUGGCAUUGCAGGUGGUGGCUGAACCUACUGUGCCACAUAUCUGGCUCCCUGAAUUAGCAACUCUAUAAGAUAUUUAUAUUAUACAAUAAUUGAGAAAGAUUUUUCAUCUGUUGCUAAUUAGCAAAGUAUCAUUGUACAUUAUAGGGAAUCUUGAAUUGAUGGGGGAAUAUAAAGAACAAAAUGGAACCCAAAUUAUUCAUAAUCUCCCCAUAGUGACUUAUUAUGUUUUAUAUUCAUUUAUAUUAAAUAUACAUAGCUUAUUCUCAGAUCAAGAUCCAAAUGAAUGUGCAUAUUAUUUAUUUUUUUCAUUUAACAUCCAAAGUAUUUAACAUCAAAAGUAUAAAUUACCUGUCAAGGUUUUUGCUAAUUUUAAAGGAAUUUUCUUGUUUCUUUACACAAUUUAGUCUUAGUUCACACAAUUUUUUAUGUUUUUAGAAAAUAGUAUUUAUUGAGGACAAUUAAAAAAUCCACCUAUUCAGGUAAAUAUUCUGGACAUUUUACACCUGAUACAUAUUUUACACAUUUUAUAUAUAUGCACAUAUAUUUAGAUAUUAUAUAUUCACAUAUAAAAUAUAUUUACAUAUGCAUAUACAUUUUUAUAAGGAGCAUGGUGUGAAGAAUAUCCCAAUAAAGACAGCACAAGCUUACAACUGAGUAGAAUUUUUCAAGUGUAUAUAACUAAUGGAUACUUUUUUAUGAGGAUAGUAAUGCACUAGCCCCAUUACUCAGCAGUUAAGCAAUACAUUGUAUUGCUUCAUACACUACUGACAUAUAAUAUUCAUCCAGUUAAGUGCAAUGGGAUAUAAUUUGUUUUAAUCAAACUAAAAACAACAUUGCAAAUUCUUUCUGCAAACUAUACUUGCCCUGCAUAUCCUGUGUGCAGAUGUUGACUAAAUCUAAAGGUUUGUAUCAUUAGUCCUUUAUAACAUCCACAAAUCUAGGAAAUCAUAAAAAUACAAAACUUUACUGAACUUAAGCUUUUAAAAUUUGACCCACUUACUUAGAUAGACAUCAUUUAUAACAAUAUCUUAACAACAGAGAAAUUAGACUACAAGAAAUAUGGUUUAGCACUAAAUAUAACAAGUAAGACAUAAAGUAAAGCACAAAAGCAUAUCCAAAUUUAUAGAAGUAGAUGAUAAAUUAUGUAUGCAAGGUUAGGGGAUAAGAGCUAAAUGGUUCAGCCUGUAUUAAACAUGCUUUUUAUAAGAAAAAUUUACUUUUCUCUAAGUUAGCUUACCCACAAUUAAUAAAUGAAAAAAGUUUACAUAUGUUAGUCUCUAGAACUUUUGUUUUAUGUGGCACUUCAACAAGAGUUUUGUUAGUAAACAUGGGUGCUGUGUGCUAAUGCAAUGAAGUAUUUAUUUUCUUCAUAUUAAACUUGAUUGAAGGAAAUUCUGGGAGUAAAUAUCCCUGGAAGCUUCCAGAGGUCCUAGAAUUUUACCAGGUGAACAUUUAGGUUUUAGCCCUGAAUCAAGUUCCCCCUCAUCUCACCGCUAGGAAAACAACUCUUUGGAAGGAGGUUUUUCUUGGCUGGUGUUCCCCAAAGGCAUGAGAGGCAAGGGCAAAUAAGUAUGUUUCCUGGGUAGUAUUGCAGUCUGUCAGAGUCCAUUGUCAACACAUCUGGGUUCUCCAAUGUUCUUUACACAGCCAGCAAGAAUAUGAUCACUCACUGUUGUUUCCUCUCCCCUUUGAUUUUUUAAUGGAAAAAGAGUUCAUUUCAGUUGACUUUACUUUUUAGAAACUUCAUUUAAUGCAAUGAGCGGAAUAAUUAAUGUAAAAAGUGGCCCACAACAUUUUUCUUUUCUCUCUUAUCUGCUUGGGAGAUCACUGCUUAUCUCCCCUAAUGCUUAAUCAGGGUGAGAAUAUUCCUUACAAUCAAUAUCAGUUUCUUACAUUGCUUAUGAAGUCAAUGUCUGAAAUAUGUGAAGGGGAUUCCAAUGCAAUAAUAAAAUGCGCUCCAUCAAGAAUCUGCUUCCCAAGUCCCCUAUUGCCCUGACUUAUGAUUUGCUUAGCUCUGUUAAUAUCACUCCUUCAGGUUUCUUUUUCUUUAUGAUUGGAUAAAAAAUAUUUUAACCUAGUAGUAUACAUAUAUUUUAAGGAUAUUUUGCAAUUCUUAUUAAUAAUACCACAUAAAAAUAAUUCACUCUGUAAAAUAGAACACAUGACCAAAUGGUCAUUAGAUAAGUGGUUUAUGCUGCACUUGAAUUGCAGUCUGAGGAGGCUUUGGACUUACACGUACUAUAUAAGGAAUUGUCAGACAAUUGUAAAAAAUAACAAGCAUUUUUAACAUGCAAAGAAAUCUUGAAAUACUAAAGACUUCACUUCAAGUAUCAAUCACAAAAUGUCUUCUAUGUUUCAUUAUGAUGCUAUUAAGUGGUCUUUAUGGAGGAACAAGCUUCUGGAAGACAUGUGGAUUGUGAACUGGGCAGUGAUUUAUCUAUUGACCAGACGCAUAAUAUAAGACAAAUACCUAGAGAGACACAUAUAUGGAUAGCAGUGUGAAACUAAACUGUUUUUACAUGGCCUAUUAGAUGAUAUUAGUAAGACAAUGUCUUAGAAUAAUUUUGUAGAAAGCUUGAUUCAGUUUUCUCAACAUAAAGCUUUUUUUCCUUAUCCAUACCUUUAUUUUGCUUUUUUUGUUUUCUAUUGUGCUGUGAAACUGUCUGGGUAUGGCUAAUACUCGAAACCCUGUUAAAUAACCCUCUCAUGAAAUGGUUUUGGUUUUAUCAAAGGAAUGGUCUAAACCAACAUAUAAAAUAAUUGGUAUACCACUUGUUAAAAAAAAAAACACUAUGAAAUCUUGAAGCUAAAAUAAAGUGAAUUAUAAAAAUAAUUUUCUCCAAAAUAGAAAAUUUUAGUAGUCAGUUUUAGUUCAUUAAAAGCUAAAUUUAUUUAGUUUAUUGUUGAAACAAAAUUAAAUAAUUCAUUUCUUUCGACAGAAUGCUUAAAUUUCUUUAUAUUCACUGAGGUUUUAUUUGUUUCUGUUUUCUAGUCUGGUCCUUUUGGUGAUAAAAGCUGACAACCUAAUAUUGUUCCCUUUAGGAAAAUAUUAACUUUUACACCACUGAUGUGGCACUUACUAGGGAAUGUGGAAAAAGCUAGCUAUUUAAUUAAAAGUAACUCAUAAAAAAGUUAAUUCUCUCAAAGUGUGGGUCUACUUAAAAGAAGUGUUUACGCUCCAAGUGGAUCAGACCAUAACAAUUGUGGAAAAGAAAACUGUUUACUUAAAAUAUGAGCACAUUUUAAGAGAAUAACUACUGUAAACCACAACUUAGUGGUAAAUUAGGUAACGCUUUUUGUUAGCUAAGUGACAUUUCCCUUGCAAAUCAUACUGUUUUAAUAUGGCUAUUUUGCUUCAGUUUAUCUAUAAUUCCUUUGGCAUUAAGAAAUCAGCGAACUCAGUGUUUCUCAAAGAGCAUACCACAAACUGUACCCAAAUUCCCUCAAUUUAUAAACCACUCCUUAGAUUUAACAGAAGCUUCAUUAACUGCUGGAAAAACCUCUUGAAAAAAUUAGUGAGUUGUUGAAAAACUAACUUGAAAGCAGGGAAGAAAUCAAAUAUAUGGGAAGCAAAAGUCCAUGACAUUUUUUAAAUCCUCUUAGAAAGUAAUUAGAAUAUGCUGCUCCUUUUCCCCUAUAGAGAUAACAUGGAGAAAAUCUAAUCUAGAGUACUUGCAGUCUGCAUCACAUGCAGCAUGACUUCCUGGGGUUUAAUGACUUAAUUUAGAUAAUCAAAUUGGAUAUGCAUUCCUAAUUUCUAAAUAGCAUCCAAUGCCUGUAAGAAUCAACACAAAAUUUAGAUGUAGGAACUUAUCUGUAGGAGCUGCUACUAUCUCUUUACUAUCCUAUAUCUUUCAGCACAUGAGAAUGAACCAACCUGGUAAUCACAGAUUUCAAGACUAACUAAAUGAACAAAGGAAACCCACACAAAUAAUAAAGGAAGUAACAAUCAAGCUAUACUCUUGAUUAGCAGGGAAUCAGUCCACAAAAAUUAGUGGAUGAUUUGUUGGGUUUUUUUAUGCCAUUUUGUUUUUCCUUAUGGAAGUGAAUUUUCAUUUUGUUCUCUUUGGGUUCUUUGACAUUCUUAGAGACAAAGAAAUUCAAAACACAAUUCUUUCUCAGUUACUCGGAAAUUCAAGUUUAUUACUGCUUUGCAAAAAAAAAAAAAUCUGUGUGACUGGUUGGUGAUAAGUUAUGUGACAAUAAACAGAGUGUGAAAAUGAACAGCACCAAAUGCCGCAUGUUUAAUACAUUUGAAAUUAGUUACAAUUGCCCUUGGUUUGGACUCCGGUGGAAGAGACUGCAGGAUGGCAAAAUGAGAGGUUUAUUUAGCGUCUGGGAGAAGCUUAUAAACGAGCUUAAGUCCUCAUUCCUUCUAACAUCUUAACAGCUGUACAGUUUCUUACAAAAUAUGUUUUAUCGUUUCAAGAAAUGCUGUUAACCUCGCAGUUUUAAAACUGAAUGAACAAGGCCUCUUGGACAAAUUGAAAAACAAAUGGUGGUACGACAAAGGAGAAUGUGGCAGCGGGGGAGGUGACUCCAAGGACAAGACGAGUGCCUUGAGCCUGAGCAACGUA